This 29-nucleotide non-coding RNA is filed under the name Mus musculus (house mouse). The record is from RNAcentral. Lineage: Eukaryota; Metazoa; Chordata; Mammalia; Rodentia; Muridae.
UGAGUGUCAAUAUUAGGGAAUUGGGACAC